GAAACAAGACACGUACGUUUGUCACUUACCAUAGAAAAGAAACUCUUGUGGGCGACGUGUAAACUAAAUUUCCACCCACUUCAUCUUUGCUUUAUUCCUCACACAAACAAACCCCAUUUUCAAAUCUUCUCUCUUCUACACAAUAACAUCAACAAGGAUUGCAGCACACACAAACAAAUACUCUCUCUCUCUCUCUGCAUGAGAAGAUAACAAACAAAACACCUCAUUCUUCAUGGCUCACCAAUCCUCUUCUUCUGAAUCUGAUGACCAUAUUCCUUCUCAUCAUCACCCAUUGGACCUAAACAGUCCCCAUCCUUCUAAAGAUAUCAUCUUCGACGACAACAUGGAGCUACAACAGCACCAACAAGAAGAAGAGAGCAACAUUAACAACCAUGAAUAUGAUGGAGAUAAUAAUAGAGAUAAAGAUGAUAAGGAUGAUGUUACUACUACACAAAACCCAUCUGCAGCUUCAGAAACCAACGAGGAGAAAAUUGCAUUACAAGAAGAGGCUUCAGAUGAUGUUGUUGUUGAAGCAGAAGAAAAAGAAGAGGAUAGUGGACGAGAGAGGCUGAAUCGGCAUAGAGUUGAAGUGGCAGGGAGGGUAUGGAUUCCAGAGAUAUGGGGUCAGGAGGAGCUAUUGAAGGAUUGGAUAGAUUGCAGUGCAUUUGAUGCUCCUUUAGUUCCAAGCAGAAUCUCCACUGCACGAAAGGCUUUGGUUGAAGAGUGUACAAGAGCCAAUGCUGCUGGACUAAUAAUAGAGAACAGUGUUUUUUCAGGGAAAAGACAGUUUCGUAUAGUUCGGAUUAAAAGAUGCAUCGUAUUUUGUGUAUAUAUUGGCCUUUACAAAUGGCUUGCCGGGGGUAUACUAGUGAAAAUGCGAUAUCUACUGCUAGCAAAAUUUAGAGAAAGAAAAAGGAAAGAGUCAUUAUCAUUCACUGAUUCUAAAUAUCUUGUAGAGAACUAGCUUUGCGACCCAUCAGGAAAUUUUGGGCACGGGGGUGCCCAAUUAGAUUACCUAUUCUAAUCCAUUCUGACAACAAGUUGCCACACAGUGAUUAGUGAGUAAUAUCCUUCUUUUUCAUUCUCUAUCACUACAACUCACUGAAGCAAAGCAUACUUACGAUACUAGUUCACCUUAGGAUAAGUAAUUUAUGAGCCAUUCUUGAGCAAAAAUGUAAAGUUUAGUUGUGACAGUAAUUACAAUUUACAGUCACACUACUGACUCCCCUAAAAAAAUAUAAUAUUCAAUGUCUGUUGUAAAAUUUUAGUAAAUAUAACUAAGAAAAGAAAAAUAGCUAUGAGGAUGCCUGCACAUCUAGCACUUCUAUUAGGCUCCUCCAGUAUAAAAUAUCUGCUACUCAUACAGCAAAUGUGGAAAACUAGUAUGAUGUCAACUCCCACACCUUGAUUGUCCCAUCAUCGCUUGCAGAGGCUAGUACCGGCUUCUCCUGUUUAGUAAAUAACACUGUUACAAAUUGCAGAGACAGACGCAGGAAGCAAAAAACAAUGCUGAUAUAGGUCACCAUUCUCCAAAUAUGGACUUGGAUUUCAAUGUACAUAUGGAUUUAUCCCUUAAUAACAACUGCACAAAUGUAGAGGUCCAAAACACCUGCACAUUUUCAGACACCGAGAAGAGCACCAAAACAAAAGGAUCUGAUGCAAGUCCAAAAACACACGAAGAAAAUGUGCAGGUGAUCCAGCUCGUCAGUAAACUUGAACAGUAAUGCAAAUAUGCAAGAAUAUUAUGCUCAUCUCUUCAAAAUAAAACAGAGUUCAAUAAAAACUCGAAGCAAAUGAAUAAAGUUGCAAAUACAGUUCAUAUUACUGUUUGACUAAGUGUUCUCUGCAUUUCAGUUGUAAAUAAAGAAAUAUCUGGCAUUGGUUUGUCAAGUCUUUUGCUACUCUUGUCCUUGUUAUCAAGUACAAAGAGAUCAAGAAAUUCCAGCUUAUUGAUAUUCACAAAUAGCCAAUAGAAUUAUUGAAUCACAAAGUGUCAGUGAUUUAAAGUGAUUGAUUUUACACCGGAAAAGGAAACUAGUAGUGGGCACACAAAGAAUCUGAUGCUUCUCCUUUC
RNA transcript from Glycine soja, 2074 nucleotides. It is a transcript of the gene named protein BIC1-like, with no coding region annotated. The record is from RefSeq and is a predicted model, not a curated record. NCBI's taxonomy places the organism in Eukaryota, Viridiplantae, Streptophyta, Magnoliopsida, Fabales, Fabaceae. The transcript has 4 exons.